AGUUUGAUUCAUGGCUCAGGAUGAACGCUGGCGGCGUGCCUAAUACAUGCAAGUCGAGCGAACGGACGAGAAGCUUGCUUCUCUGAUGUUAGCGGCGGACGGGUGAGUAACACGUGGAUAACCUACCUAUAAGACUGGGAUAACUUCGGGAAACCGGAGCUAAUACCAGAUAAUAUUUUGAACCGCAUGGUUCAAAAGUGAAAGACGGUCUUGCUGUCACUUAUAGAUGGAUCCGCGCUGCAUUAGCUAGUUGGUAAGGUAACGGCUUACCAAGGCAACGAUGCAUAGCCGACCUGAGAGGGUGAUCGGCCACACUGGAACUGAGACACGGUCCAGACUCCUACGGGAGGCAGCAGUAGGGAAUCUUCCGCAAUGGGCGAAAGCCUGACGGAGCAACGCCGCGUGAGUGAUGAAGGUCUUCGGAUCGUAAAACUCUGUUAUUAGGGAAGAACAUAUGUGUAAGUAACUGUGCACAUCUUGACGGUACCUAAUCAGAAAGCCACGGCUAACUACGUGCCAGCAGCCGCGGUAAUACGUAGGUGGCAAGCGUUAUCCGGAAUUAUUGGGCGUAAAGCGCGCGUAGGCGGUUUUUUAAGUCUGAUGUGAAAGCCCACGGCUCAACCGUGGAGGGUCAUUGGAAACUGGAAAACUUGAGUGCAGAAGAGGAAAGUGGAAUUCCAUGUGUAGCGGUGAAAUGCGCAGAGAUAUGGAGGAACACCAGUGGCGAAGGCGACUUUCUGGUCUGUAACUGACGCUGAUGUGCGAAAGCGUGGGGAUCAAACAGGAUUAGAUACCCUGGUAGUCCACGCCGUAAACGAUGAGUGCUAAGUGUUAGGGGGUUUCCGCCCCUUAGUGCUGCAGCUAACGCAUUAAGCACUCCGCCUGGGGA
RNAcentral lists this ribosomal RNA (889 nucleotides) under Staphylococcus aureus. RNAcentral describes it as "bacterial SSU rRNA". It matches the Rfam family "Bacterial small subunit ribosomal RNA", at positions 10 to 879 of the family's 1533-position model. The record is from RNAcentral. Lineage: Bacteria; Bacillati; Bacillota; Bacilli; Caryophanales; Staphylococcaceae.